UUCUAGUUCUAAUACUCAAUCAUACACAUGACAUAU
Molecule: small RNA, 36 nt
Filed under: Arabidopsis thaliana (thale cress)
Lineage: Eukaryota; Viridiplantae; Streptophyta; Magnoliopsida; Brassicales; Brassicaceae
Description: ATSL199360
Source: RNAcentral